RNAcentral lists this ribosomal RNA (366 nucleotides) under uncultured Ureaplasma sp. RNAcentral describes it as "bacterial SSU rRNA". It matches the Rfam family "Bacterial small subunit ribosomal RNA", at positions 186 to 527 of the family's 1533-position model. Lineage: Bacteria; Bacillati; Mycoplasmatota; Mycoplasmoidales; Mycoplasmoidaceae. The record is from RNAcentral.
ACGCAUGAGAAGAUGUAGAAAGUCGCUUACUUUGUGGCGACGCUUUUGGAUGAGGGGUGCGACGUAUCAGAUUAGUUGGUGAGGUAAAUGGGCUCACCAAGUCAAUGACGCGUAGCUGUACUGAGAGGUAGAACAGCCACAAUGGGACUGAGACACGGCCCAUACUCCUACGGGAGGCAGCAGUAGGGAAUUUUUCACAAUGGGCGCAAGCCUUAUGAAGCAAUGCCGCGUGAACGAUGAAGGUCUUUAUAGAUUGUAAAGUUCUUUUAUAUGGGAAGAAACGCUAAGAUAGGAAAUGAUUUUAGUUUGACUGUACCAUUUGAAUAAGUAUCGGGCUAACUAUGUGCCAGCAGCCGCGGGUAAAUA